RNAcentral lists this ribosomal RNA (915 nucleotides) under uncultured archaeon. RNAcentral describes it as "SSU rRNA". It matches the Rfam family "Archaeal small subunit ribosomal RNA", at positions 1 to 922 of the family's 1478-position model. The record is from RNAcentral.
UUUCCGGUUGAUCCCGCCGGACCUGACUGCUAUCGGAUUGAUACUAAGCCAUGCGAGUCUUUGCAGUAAUGCAAGGCAUACGGCUCAGUAACACGUAGUCAACUUACCCUAUGGACGAGGAUAAUCUCGGGAAACUGAGCAUAAUACUCGAUAGAUCAUAAUGCCUGGAAUGGUUUAUGGUUGAAAUGAUUCGUCGCCAUAGGAUGGGACUGCGGCCUAUCAGCUUGUUGGUGAGGUAAUGGCCCACCAAGGCGAUUACAGGUACGGGCUCUGAGAGGAGAAGCCCGGAGAUGGGUACUGAGACAAGGACCCAGGCCCUAUGGGGCGCAGCAGGCGAGAAAACUUUGCAAUGUGCGAAAGCACGACAAGGUUAAUCCGAGUGAUUUCUGCUAAAGAAAUCUUUUGCAAGUCAUAAAACCACUAGUGAAUAAGGGGUGGGCAAGUUCUGGUGUCAGCCGCCGCGGUAAAACCAGCACCUCAAGUGGUCAGGAGGAUUAUUGGGCCUAAAGCAUCCGUAGCCGGCUUUGUAAGUUUUCGGUUAAAUCCAUGUGCUCAACGCAUGGGCUGCCGAAAAUACUGCAUAGCUAGGGAGUGGGAGAGGUAGACGGUACUCGGUAGGAAGGGGUAAAAUCCUUUGAUCUAUCGAUGACCACCUGUGGCGAAGGCGGUCUACCAGAACACGUUCGACGGUGAGGGAUGAAAGCUGGGGGAGCAAACCGGAUUAGAUACCCGGGUAGUCCCAGCUGUAAACGAUGCAGACUCGAUGAUGCAUUGGCAUAUAGCCAGUGCAGUGUCGCAGGGAAGCCGUUAAGUCUGCCGCCUGGGAAGUACGUACGCAAGUAUGAAACUUAAAGGAAUUGGCGGGGGAGCACCACAAGGGGUGAAGCCUGCGGUUCAAUUGGAGUCAACGCCGGG